Podarcis lilfordi (Lilford's wall lizard) is the source of this 88-nucleotide non-coding RNA. Lineage: Eukaryota; Metazoa; Chordata; Lepidosauria; Squamata; Lacertidae. The record is from the annotation of a GenBank genome assembly.
UCCCCAGCUGUUCUUGGAUUACGAUUCUCAUCAUCCCUGACCUGCUAGCUAGGGAUGAUGGGAGCUGUAGUCCAAAAACAGCUGGAGA